UGGGGAAUAUUGCACAAUGGGCGAAAGCCUGAUGCAGCGACGCCGCGUGAGGGAUGACGGCCUUCGGGUUGUAAACCUCUUUCAGCAGGGACGAAGCGAGAGUGACGGUACCUGGAGAAUAAGCCCCGGCAAACUUCGUGCCAGCAGCCGCGGUAAUACGAAGGGGGCUAGCGUUGUUCGGAAUUACUGGGCGUAAAGCGCACGUAGGCGGGUCGUUAAGUCAGGGGGGGAAUCCCGGGGCUCCACUCC
This 249-nucleotide ribosomal RNA is filed under the name uncultured Hyphomicrobiales bacterium. Its description in RNAcentral is "uncultured Rhizobiales bacterium partial 16S ribosomal RNA". It matches the Rfam family "Bacterial small subunit ribosomal RNA", at positions 355 to 616 of the family's 1533-position model. Lineage: Bacteria; Pseudomonadati; Pseudomonadota; Alphaproteobacteria; Hyphomicrobiales. The record is from RNAcentral.